RNAcentral lists this non-coding RNA (189 nucleotides) under Desulfofundulus kuznetsovii. Its description in RNAcentral is "Desulfotomaculum kuznetsovii Lysine sequence". It matches the Rfam family "Lysine riboswitch aptamer". Rfam says of the family: Riboswitches are metabolite binding domains within certain messenger RNAs that serve as precision sensors for their corresponding targets. The record is from RNAcentral. Lineage: Bacteria; Bacillati; Bacillota; Clostridia; Eubacteriales; Peptococcaceae.
AGGUGGGGUAGAGGUUGCGGACAACAAGAGUACCCCGGUGGAGGAUCCGGGUUCCGCAGAAGCCGGGGAAAAGGGUUGCCCGCCGAAGUUCAGCUGUUGCCCGGAACGGCUGGGCUGGGCCGUCAUCGAACAGGUGCCGGACUGUCACCCGGUGGUUGCCCUGUUGCCGGGUGGAGCGCUAUCUCACCA